AUGGUAGAGUUCAAGAUAUGGUUGUGUGACUAUGCCAUUAGGAACCAUAGGCCGUUUGUUGUUGCUCAUUCAAAUAAAAAAGUUUGGUACACAGUCAAAUGUGACCAAGAAGGUUACAAAUGGAUGGUCCGCGGUAGAAAAAUCAAAGAAACCGGGCAAUGGGUGUUGAAGAGUCAUGUUGGCACUCACACGUGCGUACCAUCGGACAAGGUGGACCAAAGCAAAGGACACCAUCAACUCACAUCUGAGUAUCUAAUAUACAAAUUGUUGAAUCAAAUAGCACAUGAUCCAACCGUGAAGGUCAAGUUUCUCAUGUCUUCGAUUUAG
Molecule: ribosomal RNA, 327 nt
Filed under: Triticum aestivum (bread wheat)
Lineage: Eukaryota; Viridiplantae; Streptophyta; Magnoliopsida; Poales; Poaceae
Description: partial small subunit ribosomal RNA
Source: RNAcentral